Molecule: ribosomal RNA, 404 nt
Filed under: uncultured bacterium
Lineage: Bacteria
Description: bacterial SSU rRNA
Rfam family: Bacterial small subunit ribosomal RNA
Source: RNAcentral
UGGGGAAUCUUGGACAAUGGGCGCAAGCCUGAUCCAGCGACGCCGCGUGGGCGACGAAGGCCUUCGGGUUGUAAAGCCCUUUUCCCGGGGACGAUGGUGACGGUACCCGGGGAAUAAGCGCCGGCCAACUCCGUGCCAGCAGCCGCGGUAAGACGGAGGGCGCUAGCGUUGUUCGGAAUCACUGGGCGUAAAGGGCGCGCAGGCGGCCCGGCCAGUCGGGUGUGAAAGCCCGGGGCUCAACCCCGGAACGGCACCCGAUACUGCCGGGCUCGAGGCCGGGAGAGGGUGGUGGAAUACCCAGUGUAGAGGUGAAAUUCGUAGAUAUUGGGUGGAACACCGGUGGCGAAGGCGGCCACCUGGCCCGGUCCUGACGCUGAGGCGCGAAAGCGUGGGGAGCAAACAGG